RNAcentral lists this ribosomal RNA (449 nucleotides) under uncultured bacterium. RNAcentral describes it as "bacterial SSU rRNA". It matches the Rfam family "Bacterial small subunit ribosomal RNA", at positions 355 to 796 of the family's 1533-position model. The record is from RNAcentral.
UGGGGAAUAUUGGACAAUGGGGGCAACCCUGAUCCAGCAAUGCCGCGUGUGUGAAGAAGGCCUUAGGGUUGUAAAGCACUUUAGUUGGGGAAGAAGGAAAGUGGUUUAAGAGAUGACUAGUUUGACGGUACCCAAAGAAUAAGCACCGGCUAACUCUGUGCCAGCAGCCGCGGUAAUACAGAGGGUGCAAGCGUUAAUCGGAGUUACUGGGCGUAAAGGGCGCGUAGGCGGUUAUUUAAGUUUGAUGUGAAAUCCCUGGGCUUAACCUAGGAACUGCAUUGAAAACUGGGUAACUGGAGUACUGUAGAGGGUAGUGGAAUUUCCGGUGUAGCGGUGAAAUGCGUAGAGAUCGGAAGGAACACCAGUGGCGAAGGCGGCUACCUGGACAGAUACUGACGCUGAGGCGCGAGAGCGUGGGGAGCAAACAGGAUUAGAUACCCCCGUAGUCC